GACGAACGCUGGCGGCGUGCUUAACACAUGCAAGUCGAACGGAAAGGCCCCUUUGGGGGUACUCGAGUGGCGAACGGGUGAGUAACACGUGAGUAACCUGCCCUUGACUUCGGGAUAACUUCAGGAAACUGGGGCUAAUACCGGAUAGGAAUCCUUGCUGCAUGGUGGGGGUUGGAAAGCUUCGGCGGUUUUGGAUGGACUCGCGGCGUAUCAGCUUGUUGGUGGGGUAGUGGCUUACCAAGGCUUUGACGGGUAGCCGGCCUGAGAGGGCGACCGGCCACAUUGGGACUGAGAUACGGCCCAGACUCCUACGGGAGGCAGCAGUGGGGAAUAUUGCACAAUGGGCGGAAGCCUGAUGCAGCAACGCCGCGUGCGGGAUGACGGCCUUCGGGUUGUAAACCGCUUUCAGCAGGGGCGAAGCUUGUGGUGACGGUACCUGCAGAAGAAGCACCGGCUAACUACGUG
Molecule: ribosomal RNA, 465 nt
Filed under: uncultured bacterium
Lineage: Bacteria
Description: partial 16S ribosomal RNA
Rfam family: Bacterial small subunit ribosomal RNA
Source: RNAcentral